UAGGUUAACGAGGCGAACCGGGGGAACUGAAACAUCUAAGUACCCCGAGGAAAAGAAAUCAACCGAGAUUCCCCCAGUAGCGGCGAGCGAACGGGGAGCAGCCCAGAGUCUGAAUCAGCUUGUGUGUUAGUGGAACGGUCUGGAAAGUCCGACGGUACAGGGUGAUAGUCCCGUACACCAAAAUGCACAGGUUGUGAACUCGAAGAGUAGGGCGGGACACGUGGUAUCCUGUCUGAAUAUGGGGGGACCAUCCUCCAAGGCUAAAUACUCCUGACUGACCGAUAGUGAACCAGUACCGUGAGGGAAAGGCGAAAAGAACCCCGGCGAGGGGAGUGAAAAAGAACCUGAAACCGUGUACGUACAAGCAGUGGGAGCACCUUCGGGUGUGACUGCGUACCUUUUGUAUAAUGGGUCAGCGACUUAUAUUCUGUAGCAAGGUUAACCGUAUAGGGGAGCCGCAGGGAAACCGAGUCUUAACUGGGCGUUAAGUUGCAGGGUAUAGACCCGAAACCCGGUGAUCUAGCCAUGGGCAGGUUGAAGGUUGGGUAACACUAACUGGAGGACCGAACCGACUAAUGUUGAAAAAUUAGCGGAUGACUUGUGGCUGGGGGUGAAAGGCCAAUCAAACCGGGAGAUAGCUGGUUCUCCCCGAAAGCUAUUUAGGUAGCGCCUCGUGAACUCAUCUUCGGGGGUAGAGCACUGUUUCGGCUAGGGGGUCAUCCCGACUUACCAACCCGAUGCAAACUACGAAUACCGAAGAAUGUUAUCACGGGAGACACACGGCGGGUGCUAACGUCCGUCGUGAAGAGGGAAACAACCCAGACCGCCAGCUAAGGUCCCAAAGUCAUGGUUAAGUGGGAAACGAUGUGGGAAGGCACAGACAGCCAGGAUGUUGGCUUAGAAGCAGCCAUCAUUUAAAGAAAGCGUAAUAGCUCACUGGUCGAGUCGGCCUGCGCGGAAGAUGUAACGGGGCUAAACCAUG
Molecule: ribosomal RNA, 982 nt
Filed under: Klebsiella variicola
Lineage: Bacteria; Pseudomonadati; Pseudomonadota; Gammaproteobacteria; Enterobacterales; Enterobacteriaceae
Also listed under: 2 other names
Description: partial 23S ribosomal RNA
Rfam family: Bacterial large subunit ribosomal RNA
Source: RNAcentral